Molecule: ribosomal RNA, 402 nt
Filed under: uncultured Blautia sp.
Lineage: Bacteria; Bacillati; Bacillota; Clostridia; Lachnospirales; Lachnospiraceae
Description: bacterial SSU rRNA
Rfam family: Bacterial small subunit ribosomal RNA
Source: RNAcentral
UGGGGGAUAUUGCACAAUGGGGGGAACCCUGAUGCAGCGACGCCGCGUGGGUGAAGAAGCGCCUCGGCGCGUAAAGCCCUGUCAGCAGGGAAGAAAAUGACGGUACCUGAAGAAGAAGCCCCGGCUAACUACGUGCCAGCAGCCGCGGUAAUACGUAGGGGGCAAGCGUUAUCCGGAUUUACUGGGUGUAAAGGGGGCGCAGACGGCGAUGCAAGCCAGGAGUGAAAGCCCGGGGCCCAACCCCGGGACUGCUCUUGGAACUGCGUGGCUGGAGUGCAGGAGGGGCAGGCGGAAUUCCUGGUGUAGCGGUGAAAUGCGUAGAUAUCAGGAGGAACACCGGUGGCGAAGGCGGCCUGCUGGACUGCAACUGACGUUGAGGCCCGAAAGCGUGGGGAGCAAACA